This 2027-nucleotide long non-coding RNA is filed under the name Gallus gallus (chicken). RNAcentral's name for it is "lncRNA (ENSGALG00010023625.1)". Lineage: Eukaryota; Metazoa; Chordata; Aves; Galliformes; Phasianidae. The record is from RNAcentral.
GCAGAUGCGGGGGGGAAGGAGAGAGGCUCCCUGGGCAAAGCACCUGUCCCGUUAGCGGGGGCACAGUCACGUUUGAGUUGAGAGCUGCCGGCGCCUUUGGUGACCAGGCUGGCGUUGUGCUGGGCGACCUCCCCGUAAGCGGGGCUCGGGUCUUUGCUGUAGUUGGCCUUUUGCCUUGCUGCUCCUUUGGCUGCCUGGGGAGCGUGGCCCCCUGUAACGGAGGGCGAGAGCCACCUCUCCGCACCUGAGUGGGAAAUGGAGCUCGCCGGACCCCGAGGCCACCCUGUAAGCAGGGUAGUGCCGUUUCCCUGCCCCUCUUCCUCCCUCGGCCCCUCGGCAUCGUUGCCUGAUGGUGGCUUGUCAACGCGACGGCCCCGUACUCGGGGUGUGCGUCACGGCAUUUGGCCGCUGGCUUUACCUGAGAAGCCCCUUGGCACGUUGAGGUCUGUGGCCUCCGUGCAGCCUAGGGACAGGUCACAGGCUCUUGUCUGUUGCCCGUGGUUGUGGGUUUAUUCCCAGGUGUUGGCUGUGCUGCGUUGUCCUUCCCUUCUGGAAAGUCGUGCCUGUGUGUGCGUGUUCCCCUUCCUUUCCUUGUUUGUGUUUGUGGAGUGGUUGAGCGGGUGUGCUUUCCCUUUAGGCCUCCACAAAGAUGGCUGCAGCUUAGCUUUGACUUCCCAGGGGGGAAUGGAGGACUUUGGUGCAUGCCGCAAAAGGGGUGUUCCCUCUUAGUCCUGCGAGCGCAGCGAGUGUCCUGUCUUCCUACUAUUUUCCUUAGUGCAGAUCAGAGCCACACGGUAGUUCUGUGGCCAAGGCCUCCCUGUAGCCAGGGCUUGGGCCUGUCCUUGCGUGGCCGCCUGUCCUGCUGGCGGCGGUGACAGCCCCGUAGUCGGGGUGUGUGUCCCAAGCUUUGGAGCCCUCUGUCCCUGAGCAGCCCGCCCGCCCUGUAAUCAGGUGUGGGGAGGCUGCAGCGUUGCAGCCGGCUGCUUUAGCCAUCCAGCUGGUGGGAGUGACCCCUCCCUGUCCCGUCAGAGGGUGCAGGUUGAGGUGCUGUUUGUGUGUGGGGUGACCUCCCCGCUCGGUGGGUCGAGGUAGCUCCCUGGGCUUCCAAAGACGAGGCGUUGGUGAUGUUCUGCUGCUGCCGGGCGGGCCAGCCUGUAGCUCAGGCGUUGGCGGGAGCCUCGUGCUCCGCGGGGCUUCUUGAAGAGGGUGAGGUGUGGGAGUACCGUCCUGUAGGCAGGGCUGUGUGUGCCCCCCGUGUGUGCUUGGUGAGCUGCGUUCUGAGAGACCCCCUGUACUCAGGUGGGAAUGUGGCCCCGGCCUUUCAGAGGCGCGGGGCCGUGAGACGCGGGGUGGGGCUUGCGCCCUCCCUGGAAUCGGGGCUGGGAUCCCGACUGCGGCCUUUGGCCGUGCCGCCCCGCUGCCUGGCUGCUGAGAGUUGCUCCUGCCGCUGGGGGGGAAACCGAGCUCUGUGGCUCCAGGGGUGUUGUCCACCCGCCUGUAAUCAGGGUCUGGGUGCGUGAGCGUUUGUGCUCUGCUGGCAGCCUGUGUGGGGUGACCGCCCCGCUAGCGGGGUGUGGGUCGAGGUGCCCCGGACUGGGAGAGAAGGAGCCUCCCUCGGCCGUAGGGAUGGGGGCUGCCCUGUAAGUCAGGGAGCAUCUGUGUCCCGGAGUCCCAGGCCCUUUUCAAUGGCGGCAGUGGCCGGGGGUCCCCUGUAAGCAGGGAAGCUGACUCUUUGGCUGCUGCUUUUUGUGUGCCCAGCCCCAUUUGCCCAGUCUGCCCGCCUCUGUGAUCCCCCGCAGCACUGGCUGGAAGUCCGCCGCGCAUCAGAGCUGCUUCAGAAGAAAGAAGAAGCGGCGUGGGGACCUGGGCUGCAAAAUCAAGAUGGGGCAUCUGUUGACUGUUUUUCUUGUAUUUCUUUGCCUUUUGGAGCCACAGUUUUGAACGGUUGUGUAAGACUUUAUCACUCUUUUUGUCAGCGUCGUCAGCUGUGAAUAAAGUUUUUUUUCCAUGUUGUUUUUCCUGUUAUA